Non-coding RNA from Elephantulus edwardii (Cape elephant shrew), 540 nucleotides. Lineage: Eukaryota; Metazoa; Chordata; Mammalia; Macroscelidea; Macroscelididae. The record is from the annotation of a RefSeq genome assembly.
AUGAAGGGGCAAUUGCUCACUCUGCUGGGACUUCUUUGCACCCAGGUUUGCUCUGUGAGAGGGGUGCAGGUGGAGCAGAGCCCUCCAGUCCUGAGCCUCCAGGAGGGAGACAGCUACAUAUUGAGGUGCAAUUUUUCAACUUCUGUGAGGAAUGUGCAGUGGCUUCAUCAGAAUCCUAAGGGACGCCUCAUCAGCCUGUUUUACAUUCCUUCAGGGACAAAGCAGAAUGGAAGAUUAAACGCCACGACGGUAGCUAAAGAACGUCUCAGCUUACUGCACAUUUCCUCUUCCCAGACCACAGAUUCAGCCAUUUAUUUCUGUGCUGUGGAGCCACAGUGCUUCCCCAGCACCUGCAGCCUGUACGCAAACUCUCAGCUGGGCCAUCCCCUCCCUCGGGUAUGGCCAUGCCACAGCUGCUUUGCACAGCUUACUGUUUGCUUUCCAUUUAGUGAGGUUUUUACAGCAGAUACCAUUAUUGGGACAUUUGGUCUUUAUCUUCUCUUUUCAUUUUACACCUCACCUUACAUUUCCAACUUGUAA